Long non-coding RNA from Ostrea edulis (European flat oyster), 844 nucleotides. RefSeq lists it as uncharacterized. Lineage: Eukaryota; Metazoa; Mollusca; Bivalvia; Ostreida; Ostreidae. The transcript is spliced from 3 exons. The record is from RefSeq and is a predicted model, not a curated record.
ACAUGUAGAUCUUACGAUUAAGAUUUGAGGGUUUAGAGUUGAUGCAGGUUGAUGUGGCUUUUUCUUUGAACUGUAUAGUCACUUGGAUGGGAGCUUCCAAACUGACAAGUAACCGCAUUAGUAUCAAUCAGUGCCAUAUCGUCAUAACAACAGUCUAUACAACCCCAUCUGAUUAAAAAUAAACCUCGACAUAUUUGACCUUUCAUGGAAAUUCAACUUAUUUUUUUUCCCUUUAUUCUAUAUCUGUUUAUUUAUUUUCUCUUUCCUUUUUUUGAAAAUUUAUCCUAAUGAUCAUUUGUUAAGGUGGUUCAUUACACCAAAAUUUCAUUUCACUCCUCGUGUACAUAAACACCUCGUAGGAAACACGAUUUCACCAUUAACAGAGUGAUAGAAGUUCUCAAUCAUUUCAUUUGAUGUUUUGUGAUUGUACUUUUUAAAAAUAAUCUACUCUCCACAGGACAAAUUAAUCCACACGUUACCUCGGGUGUUGGUUUUCUUUUUUCGUUCCGCUUCAUUUUCUGUUCCGCGCUUUAGCAAUACCCUCUACUUCAAAACCUUUUCCGACCGCCGCCAUUAUCAGAAUUUACACGCGCAGCUUGGCUCAGUGCCAAUUAACAACGCCUUCACGUCAGUCACGAUGCCUAAAAUCCGGAACACCUGUAUAGAGGGGAGACACAAGGCUCGAAACCGGGGCAGUGGCUUGCUCAGAGAACGCGCUGACCAUUACGGCAUGGAAGUCCAACACUUAUGACGGACAAAUAUACAUAUUUACUCAAGUUUACCUCUGAUUAAUGUAACCAUAAUAAAGUAUUUGAAAUUACAAAACUGAUUCGUUAUCAUCCGU